RNAcentral lists this unclassified non-coding RNA (213 nucleotides) under Hevea brasiliensis (rubber tree). The record is from RNAcentral. Lineage: Eukaryota; Viridiplantae; Streptophyta; Magnoliopsida; Malpighiales; Euphorbiaceae.
AUAGCUAACCUCACAACUCACAAGCCAAUUUCACCUCAAAAUACUUAUAAAAAUUCCAACUUUACUACUAAACAAAGUAUAAACUCGCACAAAAAUUGUAACUUUUACUAGUAAACAAAGUAAAGAUCCCACCUUUUUCCUUGAACCAACUUACAAAAGAUUCGAACUUUAUCCCCUUAGAGAUGACCAAUUGAUUCCUCCAAGAAAACCCAA